GGACAAUGGGCGCAAGCCUGAUCCAGCCAUUCCGCGUGAGUGAAGAAGGCCUUCGGGUUGUAAAGCUCUUUCGCAAGGGAAGAAAACUUACUUUCUAAUAAAGAGUGAGGUUGACGGUACCUUGAUAAGAAGCACCGGCUAACUACGUGCCAGCAGCCGCGGUAAUACGUAGGGUGCGAGCGUUAAUCGGAAUUACUGGGCGUAAAGCGUGCGCAGGCGGUUUGGUAAGUCAGAUGUGAAAUCCCCGAGCUCAACUUGGGAACUGCGUUUGAAACUCCAAGACUAGAAUAUGUCAGAGGGGGGUAGAAUUCCACGUGUAGCAGUGAAAUGCGUAGAGAUGUGGAGGAAUACCAAUGGCGAAGGCAGCCCCCUGGGAUAAUAUUGACGCUCAUGCACGAAAGCGUGGGGAGCAAACAGGAUUAGAUACCCUGGUAGUCCACGCCCUAAACGAUGUCUACUAGUUGUUGGUGGAGUAAAAUCCAUUAGUAACGCAGCUAACGCGUGAAGUAGACCGCCUGGGGAGUACGGUCGCAAGAUUA
RNAcentral lists this ribosomal RNA (539 nucleotides) under uncultured Methylophilus sp. RNAcentral's name for it is "bacterial SSU rRNA". It matches the Rfam family "Bacterial small subunit ribosomal RNA", at positions 366 to 896 of the family's 1533-position model. The record is from RNAcentral. Lineage: Bacteria; Pseudomonadati; Pseudomonadota; Betaproteobacteria; Nitrosomonadales; Methylophilaceae.